RNAcentral lists this ribosomal RNA (776 nucleotides) under uncultured Enterococcus sp. Its description in RNAcentral is "bacterial SSU rRNA". It matches the Rfam family "Bacterial small subunit ribosomal RNA", at positions 28 to 776 of the family's 1533-position model. Lineage: Bacteria; Bacillati; Bacillota; Bacilli; Lactobacillales; Enterococcaceae. The record is from RNAcentral.
GACGAACGCUGGCGGCGUGCCUAAUACAUGCAAGUCGAACGCAUUUUCUUCCACCGUAGCUUGCUACACCGGAAGAAAAUGAGUGGCGAACGGGUGAGUAACACGUGGGUAACCUGCCCAUCAGCGGGGGAUAACACUUGGAAACAGGUGCUAAUACCGCAUAAUUCCAUCUACCGCAUGGUAGAUGGAUGAAAGGCGCUUUCGCGUCACUGAUGGAUGGACCCGCGGUGCAUUAGCUAGUUGGUGGGGUAACGGCCUACCAAGGCUGCGAUGCAUAGCCGACCUGAGAGGGUGAUCGGCCACACUGGGACUGAGACACGGCCCAGACUCCUACGGGAGGCAGCAGUAGGGAAUCUUCGGCAAUGGACGCAAGUCUGACCGAGCAACGCCGCGUGAGUGAAGAAGGUUUUCGGAUCGUAAAACUCUGUUGUUAGAAAAGAACAAGGAUGAGAGUGGAAAGUUCAUCCCUUGACGGUAUCUAACCAGAAAGCCACGGCUAACUACGUGCCAGCAGCCGCGGUAAUACGUAGGUGGCAAGCGUUGUCCGGAUUUAUUGGGCGUAAAGCGAGCGCAGGCGGUCUUUUAAGUCUGAUGUGAAAGGCCCCGGCUUAACCGGGGAGGGUCAUUGGAAACUGGGAGACUUGAGUGCAGAAGAGGAAAGCGGAAUUCCAUGUGUAGCGGUGAAAUGCGUAGAUAUAUGGAGGAACACCAGUGGCGAAGGCGGCUUUCUGGUCUGUAACUGACGCUGAGGCUCGAAAGCGUGGGGAGCAAACAGG